AACGCACAUUGCGCCCCGGGGUAUUCCCCAGGGCAUGCGUGGGUGAGCGAUAUUUACUCUCAAACCUCCGGUUUGGUCCUGCUUCGGCCUAAUAUCAACGGCGCUAGAAUAAGUUUUAGCCCCAUUCUUUUUCCUCACCCUCGUAAGACUACCCGCUGAACUUAA
Molecule: unclassified non-coding RNA, 165 nt
Filed under: uncultured Metschnikowia
Lineage: Eukaryota; Fungi; Ascomycota; Pichiomycetes; Serinales; Metschnikowiaceae
Description: sequence contains ITS2
Source: RNAcentral